UACACACCGUGUCGUCUCUCUCCGCACCGGUAUCGCCGCUGACAUCCGUCUGUAGGCUGCUAGACAGCCUGUUUCCCCACCUCCAUCUCCCUCCAACCCCCCCUGUGGUGGUGGAGUCUGCCUGUAGUUCGUAUCCGGGUUGGACGCAGUAGAUGGAAGAACGGCGCUCCACUCGAACGAACUACUUUACCCAGAAGCCCCCGCCAAGCCUCAACUUAUAGAACUGGCUUCUUGGGCUUCGGGAGUGAUUCCCAUUUAAACAAACAGUGCCGAAGAUGGCGGAGAGUUAAUGGUGUAAAGAAGAAAUUAUCGAUCCGCUAGACCGAUACGUCCACAAGGGUGCACUCUGGUUUUCAUAAAGUAACUUUUCAGGGCGAGCAGUCAGGAAUCAUGUCGCUUCUUGAGGUGUUGUGCAGC
Cottoperca gobio is the source of this 417-nucleotide long non-coding RNA. RefSeq lists it as uncharacterized. The record is from RefSeq and is a predicted model, not a curated record. Lineage: Eukaryota; Metazoa; Chordata; Actinopteri; Perciformes; Bovichtidae. The transcript has 3 exons.